CUGCAAACCCUUGGAGGUGGCAUUGCCAAAAGCGGACGUCAAUAGAUGUAAUGCAAAAAUAGUGUCUUGUGUUCAAAAAAGGUUGGGAAAUACUGAGUGAAAGGAAUUGGCUCAGGCAAUGGUGAAGAUUUGGCAAGUCCAAAAUCUGAUGGAGGAGUCUGGCGGGAUGGAGACUCCGAAAAGAGUUGCAGUUUGAGUCAAAAGGCAAGCUGUCAGUGAGCUAGGAAGAGCCGACGAUGUUGCAGUUCAAGUCCAAAGACCCUCUGCCAGCAAACUUCCCUCCUGCUCGGAGGAGCUAAAUCUUUUGUUCUAUUUAAGCCUUCACCUAAUUGGAUAAGGCCCACCUGCAUUAUGGAGCUCAUCUGCUCUACUCAAAUCUACUAAUUUGAAUGCUAAUCUCAUCCAAAAACACUGUCACAG
This 420-nucleotide long non-coding RNA is filed under the name Homo sapiens (human). RNAcentral's name for it is "non-protein coding LINC01646:9". Lineage: Eukaryota; Metazoa; Chordata; Mammalia; Primates; Hominidae. The record is from RNAcentral.